AUACUUACCUGGACGGGGUCAACGGUCGAUCAAGAAGGCCCGUGGCCUAGGCCAAUGGCCCGCAUUGCACUGGGUGGGCGCGUUAGCUUACAAUCUCCCCAAGUGGGAGAGUGGACGAAAUAAUUUGUGAUAGAGGGGGUACGCGUUCGCGCGGCCCUGCU
This is a non-coding RNA of Oryza meridionalis, 161 nucleotides long. The record is from Rfam. Lineage: Eukaryota; Viridiplantae; Streptophyta; Magnoliopsida; Poales; Poaceae.